Molecule: ribosomal RNA, 347 nt
Filed under: uncultured bacterium
Lineage: Bacteria
Description: partial 16S ribosomal RNA
Rfam family: Bacterial small subunit ribosomal RNA
Source: RNAcentral
CCUACGGGUGGCAGCAGUGAGGAAUAUUGGUCAAUGGACGGAAGUCUGAACCAGCCAUGCCGCGUGCAGGAAGACGGCUCUAUGAGUUGUAAACUGCUUUUGUACAAGGGUAAAGCUGAAUACGUGUAUGCAGCUGAAAGUACUGUACGAAUAAGGAUCGGCUAACUCCGUGCCAGCAGCCGCGGUAAUACGGAGGAUCCAAGCGUUAUCCGGAUUUAUUGGGGUUAAAGGGUGCGUAGGCGGAUUGCUAAGUUAGAGGUGAAAGGUCCGGGCUUAACUCGGGAACGGCCUCUAAUACUGUUGGUCUAGCGCGUAGGUGCGGUAGGCGGAAUGUAUGGUGUAGCGGU